UGAAGGCUGGAGGCAAGAUCCUC
RNAcentral lists this non-coding RNA (23 nucleotides) under Cricetulus griseus (Chinese hamster). Lineage: Eukaryota; Metazoa; Chordata; Mammalia; Rodentia; Cricetidae. The record is from RNAcentral.